Molecule: ribosomal RNA, 1393 nt
Filed under: uncultured organism
Description: bacterial SSU rRNA
Rfam family: Bacterial small subunit ribosomal RNA
Source: RNAcentral
GCUUGCUGAAUACACGACCGGCGCACGGGUGAGUAACACGUUUGCAACCUUCCCCUAACUGGAGAAUAGCCCGAAGAAAUUCGGAUUAAUACUCCAUAAAGUCAAUUUAAGGCAUCUUUUAUUGAUUAAAGCUCCGGCGGUUAGAGAUGGGCAUGCGUGUCAUUAGCUAGUUGGUGAGGUAACGGCUCACCAAGGCCACGAUGACUAGGGGGUCUGAGAGGAUGAUCCCCCACACUGGUACUGAGACACGGACCAGACUCCUACGGGAGGCAGCAGUGAGGAAUAUUGGGCAAUGGACGCAAGUCUGACCCAGCCAUGCCGCGUGCAGGGUGACUGCCCUAUGGGUUGUAAACUGCUUUUGUUUGGGAAGAAACCCCCGAUCGUGAUCGGGGCUGACGGUACCAUACGAAUAAGCAUCGGCUAACUCCGUGCCAGCAGCCGCGGUAAUACGGAGGAUGCAAGCGUUAUCCGGAUUCAUUGGGUUUAAAGGGUGCGCAGGCGGAAUAUUAAGUCAGUGGUGAAAUCCUGCAGCUUAACUGUAGAACUGCCAUUGAUACUGAUAUUCUUGAAUAUAGUUGAGGUGGGCGGAAUGUGUAAUGUAGCGGUGAAAUGCUUAGAUAUUACACAGAACACCAAUUGCGAAGGCAGCUCACUAAACUAAUAUUGACGCUGAGGCACGAAAGCGUGGGUAGCAAACAGGAUUAGAUACCCUGGUAGUCCACGCUGUAAACUAUGAUCACUCGCUGUUGGCAAUACAUCGUCAGCGGCUGAGCGAAAGCAUUAAGUGAUCCACCUGGGGAGUACGGUCGCAAGAUUGAAACUCAAAGGAAUUGACGGGGGCCCGCACAAGCGGAGGAACAUGUGGUUUAAUUCGAUGAUACGCGAGGAACCUUACCUGGGCUUAAAUGCAGAGCGACGUCCGCCGAAAGGUGGAUUCCUUCGGGCGAUCUGCAAGGUGCUGCAUGGUUGUCGUCAGCUCGUGCCGUGAGGUGUCGGGUUAAGUCCCAUAACGAGCGCAACCCUUAUCGUUAGUUGCCAGCGGGUAAUGCCGGGGACUCUAACGAAACUGCCGGUGUAAACCGUGAGGAAGGUGGGGAUGACGUCAAAUCAGCACGGCCCUUAUGUCCAGGGCUACACACGCGUUACAAUGGUCGGUACAGAGGGCAGCUACCACGCGAGUGGAUGCUAAUCUCGAAAACCGGUCUCAGUUCGGAUUGAAGUCUGCAACUCGACUUCAUGAAGCUGGAUUCGCUAGUAAUCGCGCAUCAGCCAUGGCGCGGUGAUACGUUCCCGGGCCUUGUACACACCGCCCGUCAAGCCAUGGAAGCUUGGGGUACCUGAAGUCCUAACCGCAAGGAGCGGCCUAGGGUAAGACAAGUGACUGGGGCUAAGU